Molecule: ribosomal RNA, 253 nt
Filed under: uncultured bacterium
Lineage: Bacteria
Description: partial 16S ribosomal RNA
Rfam family: Bacterial small subunit ribosomal RNA
Source: RNAcentral
UACGUAGGAGGCAAGCGUUGUCCGGAAUCACUGGGCGUAAAGAGUGUGUAGGCGGUGUUCUAAGUCUGUUGUGAAAUCUCCCGGCUUAACUGGGAGGGUGCGGCGGAAACUGGAAUGCUAGAGGAUGGGAGAGGUAAGCGGAAUUCCUGGUGUAGCGGUGAAAUGCGCAGAUAUCAGGAGGAACACCGGUGGCGAAGGCGGGUCUCUGGGCCGAUACUGACGCUGAGGAGCGAAAGCGUGGGGAGCGAACAGG